AUCUGUCACCAGGCUUCCUUGAACAUACCCACUCUCAUCCGAUUUGGGAAGCUAAGCAGGGUCAGUCCCGGUUAAUACCUGGAUGGGAGACU
RNAcentral lists this ribosomal RNA (92 nucleotides) under Pogona vitticeps (central bearded dragon). Lineage: Eukaryota; Metazoa; Chordata; Lepidosauria; Squamata; Agamidae. The record is from RNAcentral.